GACGAACGCUGGCGGCGUGCCUAAUACAUGCAAGUUGAGCGAUGAAGAUUGGUGCUUGCCCCACUUUGAAGAGCAGCGAACGGGUGAGUAACGCGUGGGGAAUCUGCCUUUGAGCGGGGGACAACAUUUGGAAACGAAUGCUAAUACCGCAUAAUAACUUUAACCAUAAGUUUUAAGUUUGAAAGAUGCAAUUGCCUCACUCAAAGAUGAUCCCGCGUUGUAUUAGCUAGUUGGUGAGGUAAAGGCUCACCAAGGCGAUGAUACAUAGCCGACCUGAGAGGGUGAUCGGCCACAUUGGGACUGAGACACGGCCCAACCUCCUACGGGAGGCAGCAGUAGGGAAUCUUCGGCAAUGGACGAAAGUCUGACCGAGCAACGCCGCGUGAGUGAAGAAGGUUUUCGGAUCGUAAAACUCUGUUGGUAGAGAAGAACGUUGGUGAGAGUGGAAAGCUCAUCAAGUGACGGUAACUACCCAGAAAGGGACGGCUAACUACGUG
Molecule: ribosomal RNA, 497 nt
Filed under: uncultured bacterium
Lineage: Bacteria
Description: partial 16S ribosomal RNA
Rfam family: Bacterial small subunit ribosomal RNA
Source: RNAcentral